Molecule: non-coding RNA, 2953 nt
Organism: Coturnix japonica (Japanese quail)
Lineage: Eukaryota; Metazoa; Chordata; Aves; Galliformes; Phasianidae
Source: RefSeq, a predicted model, not a curated record
AGGAUACUGAACUUGGCUUUCUUUAAUAUUAAAAAAAAUGAGAACGCGGUAGAAUUUUUGCUAAAAAUACACUGUUGUGUAAAUAGAAACCAUUGGCAUAUAUUGAUAUUACAUCACAAACCCAUAAAUAUCAUAAAGAAAAUAAAAGCGACUCCUUGAUACAGAGUUGCCAGUGGAAAUUCUGAGCUCAGGGGACAUUUGAAAAAGUAAUAUUCCUGCAAGCCAAGUAUUUUUUUUUAUUUCUCUGCCUGUUGUUGCACCUCUUUCCCUCCCCAGUAAGUGAUGGACCCCUCCUGAUGGUGUCUUAUACAGAGGAGCACCACAGACAUUUGUGCACGUGCACUUUGUGACUCUGAUAGCAGUUUGCCUGAAGGAUGCUGGGAGUUCUUGGAGGGAAAAGCAAAACUAUUUGUUUGGGUUUUUUUCAUCUUUUCCUUGUAAUCCUGAAUGGCUUCUAAGAUCGCAUCUGUGCAAUCCAAUUGUUCCCUGUAAGUGGGCAGCCCUGUGGCUUUCUUGUAGAAGUCUGUGAGGAAGCAGAAGGAAAAGACAGCAUGCUCGGUCACUGGACUUAUCCCCUUCUAAUGCCCCAAGCACUUGGCAGCCUUAUGCAGUCCUGAAGUAAUAAGCCCUCUGCUGUUGAGUCGUGCACUCUGACCUGCAAAACCUUCCACUGACACACUGGCCUAUGCACAUUCAUGGAGGGAGAAUACGCAACAUUGCUCUAUUUCCUUCAAAAGCUUCAACAUAUUGAAAAGAGACAAUGGCAGAACACAGCAGAAUUACCCAUCCUCACAGGAAUCUGGCAGUGCUGUGGAAGCCAUCCAUCCACCCAUCUCUGGCUCCUCUGCCCUGGACCAUGGUGCCCUCUCUUGUGCUGCAUCAUGCCUUUGUGCAGCCGCACUGCACGCCAGGCUGCAGUAACCCACCCUAAAGUGGACCUAGCAAAAAGGAAUGAUUAUAAGCUGGACCAUUUCUGUGUGAAGUCUGAAUGAAGACUGGUGCUGGGAGUACUGGAAUGAGGAGGCUGAGCCCUUUGCAUAGCAACUGUGCAGUGCUAUUGCAACUGCAAGGAGAAGCAACUACAUCCAUAACACAGGGUACAGAGGGACAAGUGGCCGAGUUCUGUGCUGAAUGAGAAGGGUACUGCUGAACUUCUUGCAUAGUUCCCAGUGAGGCUGACUGCUGAAAUGCUUUGGGGAAAGAAGACUGCUUUGACUGCAGGGCCUGCUCAGAACCCUGGGAAGUGCUGCAUGCAGAGCACAGAGAUCAACGCCUAACCUGCAAGGCAGAUACGUGGCUGAAGCUUACAGGGAUCUGCUUCUACCAAGUAAGUUUCUUUCAGCUUUGACUCCAUUAAAUAUGAGAUUCAAUGCAUGAUGUUAUCCUAAAAGCUUAAACCUCUCUUCUCAACCCUAAAUAUUUUUUAUAUACCUGUCUUUGUUGUUACAAUAAGGAGGAAUGUCUGAUUUCAGUAUGUCUGUUACUGAUGCUUUAUUGAUCCUCCUUUGCUGCACUGUAAUUCUAAUCGAAGUUACAAUUAGCUGAUCAACUUAGAUAAGUAAAUGAUCUUAUCUGGGUUAUUUUGUUAGCACUGCAGUUAGUACAUUAAGUACUGAAGACAUUUUUGGGGAGAAAAGACCUGUUUUGAUGCUUUUGAUAUCUAUCACCACUGGUGUGUGUAUCUGUAUGUACUGCUUGUUCCAAAAUAAUAGAGAUUUGGUUGAUAUUUAAAGACAGCAGAAGUCUGAAAAGGUAUCAGUCAAAUUAGACAGCACAGAGGCCUAUCGUAGAUUUUGUCUUCUCUGAGCCUUGAAUUAUAACAACAUGAACCAUCUGCAAUGUUCUGAACAGGCUGAUCUUAAGAUCUAGUCAACUUACUUCUUUCAGAUUCAAACUACAGGAGUUCUGCAAUCAUUGUGAUCACAAUGUGUGCCAGGGUCAUGGUUAGAUAAAGUGUAAAAUGAUUUUGAAUGGAUUAGUAUCUCCAUAGCAAUUGCUGUUCUCUGUUUGUAUAUAAACGUUGCUAUGAAGUCAAUGCUGGGUAUUUAUCUAGCAGCUAAACUGACAUUUCUACAUGCUGUUAAUCAUUUUUCCUCUGUCAGACCAAAAACCCAUAAGCCCUAAACCCUUAAAUCCUUAAAUGUGAAACAAGGCAGCCCGAAGCUUCAGGGAUGAGUUUGCAAAUCUUGCUGAACCACAGUUGUAGGGCAGAACUGCAGGAACAGACCUCAAAUGGAGAUUUACAUUUCAAAGUGUUCUGCAGCCUCCUGGUUCCCCAGAGCACCAGAGGCUCCUGUGAGAUGGCAGCCAGUCACAUCCCUGCAUUCUGUAGAUGUUGCAGCCUUCUGUGGUCAUUGCUGUAGCUUUUUUAUCUCUGAACGAAUGAUCAUUCCUUAGGACAAAAUCCCCCUAUCCUGUCAGUAUUCAAUACAGAAAUUCCUUACUUAUUUCUAAGGUUUCAUUUGUAUGUUUUGGGGUCUGACUGCUUUCCCGCUUCUGUUCUAUUAGAAAGCAGAGCACAUCUCAACUCAAGACUCCAAAGCAUCAGACUGUACUAACAGUAGCCCCAAAGUGUUAUUUGAAUCUGCUUACUAGGAGAGAGCGAGGAGCAAUGCCUACCGAUGCAACAGCCUUAGCAGCUAACUUUGGAAUAGUCUCCACUGGUGCAAAGGGAGCGUUUUCCAUGCCCGUAUUUGCCAAAACUAUUUGCUCAACUUUGAAACCUUCCCACAUGCCUCGACACAGAUGGGUAAAAGGAUUGUUUUUCCUUUUUGAGUCAGUGUUUGUGGAGUGCCGUUCCUGCCAAAGAAUUCCUUCGAAACUUCUUGAAAGCCCACGUCUCCCUCAGUAUCAGAGCUUUUGACCGUGCUUCUUGCUGGAGCACACGUGCAGCAGCAAGUUGUUUUCUCCCAUGUUAAGGUGCAGUGAUUUCUAAGAACUUGCCUACCUUGCA